Molecule: ribosomal RNA, 433 nt
Filed under: uncultured bacterium
Lineage: Bacteria
Description: partial 16S ribosomal RNA
Rfam family: Bacterial small subunit ribosomal RNA
Source: RNAcentral
AACGAACGCUGGCGGCAUGCCUAACACAUGCAAGUCGAACGAGACCUUCGGGUCUAGUGGCGCACGGGUGCGUAACGCGUGGGAACCUGCCCUUAGGUUCGGAAUAACUCCCCGAAAGGGGUGCUAAUACCAGAUAAUGUCUUCGGACCAAAGAUUUAUCGCCUUUGGAUGGGCCCGCGUUGGAUUAGCUAGUUGGUAGGGUAAAAGCCUACCAAGGCGACGAUCCAUAGCUGGUCUGAGAGGAUGAUCAGCCACACUGGGACUGUGACACGGCCCAGACUCCUACGGGAGGCAGCAGUGGGGAAUAUUGGACAAUGGGCGAAAGCCUGAUCCAGCAAUGCCGCGUGAGUGAUGAAGGCCUUAGGGUUGUAAAGCUCUUUUACCCGGGAUGAUAAUGACAGUACCGGGAGAAUAAGCUCCGGCUAACUCCGUG